Molecule: long non-coding RNA, 759 nt
Filed under: Capra hircus (goat)
Lineage: Eukaryota; Metazoa; Chordata; Mammalia; Artiodactyla; Bovidae
Description: lncRNA (ENSCHIG00000002474.1)
Source: RNAcentral
CAAGGACUCAUUCAUCUCGGGGCGCUGAGAAUCCUGUCCACACAUUUAAAAUCCAGUGGCUCUCCUAAGAUGCUCAGCGGGAACUGAUCUUGGACUCUUGGCUCCUUAGAGCACCAUCUGUCCUUUAAAUCUUGUGACCGGCUCUUCCAUUCUUAAAGGACGGUCACAGACCUUUCGCGUGUUUUUGUCUGGGCCUUGCUUUGUCCCCUUGUCCAGAAGCGCAGCAGGCUUCUGUUCUCUUUUUCUGGUUUCUGCAGCUCACUUUUCACCUCAUCCUGCUGUCUGAGAAUGACUUGCAUGAUCGCUGGAGAAACCAGUCUCCAAAGAGGCCCCACAUGCACUUCCUACAAGAAGUGCAGCAUGGAACCCCCUCUGAGCCCCUGACCAGUGACCCCCAGACACGGGGCCACUUCUGCUUCCUCACUCUUGGAAAACAAACACAUCACCACCUAGGUUACUGUCUAUGCCCUGAUUUUACUUCCUUAAAUAACAUAUUCAAAAAAUAGAUAUCAAAAAUGUAGUCUUUUCAAUAGUGUCUAAAGGAAAGAAAACACAUGCUUUUACCUAUUGUGAGUUUUUCUCUUGAGUUCAUUUCAAAUGAGAAAACAUCUAAGUCUGGAAGAGGACUGAUAUGUAUUUAUGCCAAGGGCUGCAGGUUCGAGACUCUUCCAGCCUCCAGAUUGUGUAUAAAUCCAGCUCAUCUGAGGUCACAGGCUGCUAUUGACCGAAUUGUGCCCCAGAUUCACCUGUUGAAGCUCU